Felis catus (domestic cat) is the source of this 84-nucleotide transfer RNA. It matches the Rfam family "tRNA". From Rfam's summary of the family: Transfer RNA (tRNA) molecules are approximately 80 nucleotides in length. The record is from Rfam. Lineage: Eukaryota; Metazoa; Chordata; Mammalia; Carnivora; Felidae.
GCCUGGGUGGCUCAGUCGGUUGAGCACCUGACUUCGACUCAGGUCAUGAUCUCACACUCAUGGGUUUGAGCCCCGUGUCGGGCU